GACGAACGCUAGCGAUAGGCUUAACACAUGCAAGUCGAGGGGCAGCAUAUUCGAAGCUUGCUUUGAAUGAUGGCGACCGGCGCACGGGUGCGUAACGCGUAUGUAACCUGCCUGUCAGAAGGGAAUAACCCGGUGAAAGUCGGACUAAUACCCUAUAUGCUCACGAGAGGCUCCUGCCUUGGUGAGGAAAGAUUUAUCGCCCAGGGAUGAGCCCGCGUAAGAUUAGGUAGUUGGUGAGGUAAAGGCUCACCAAGCCGACGAUCUUUAGCUGGUCUGAGAGGAUGAUCAGCCACACUGGGACUGAGACACGGCCCAG
RNAcentral lists this ribosomal RNA (316 nucleotides) under uncultured bacterium. RNAcentral describes it as "bacterial SSU rRNA". It matches the Rfam family "Bacterial small subunit ribosomal RNA", at positions 28 to 334 of the family's 1533-position model. The record is from RNAcentral.